UAUGGUUGGAGAGGACACAA
RNAcentral lists this non-coding RNA (20 nucleotides) under Arabidopsis thaliana (thale cress). Lineage: Eukaryota; Viridiplantae; Streptophyta; Magnoliopsida; Brassicales; Brassicaceae. The record is from RNAcentral.